CUACCAUGCAGUUGAGCGGUAAGGCCCCUUCGGGGGUACACGAGCAGCGAACGGGUGAGUAUCGCGUGGGUAACCUACCCAGAGGUGGGGGAUAGCCUCGGGAAACCGGGGGUAAUACCGCAUGAGCCCUCGAUGACACAAGUCGACGAGGGGAAAGGCGGGGAUCCUUCGGGACCUGUCGUCUCUGGAUGGGCCCGCGUCCGAUUAGCUAGUUGGUGGGGUAAUGGCCUACCAAGGCGACGAUCGGUAGCCGGCCUGAGAGGGUGAACGGCCACAUUGGGACUGAGACACGGCCCAGACUCCUACGGGAGGCAGCAGUGGGGAAUUUUGGGCAAUGGGGGAAACCCUGACCCAGCGACGCCGCGUGGAGGAUGAAGGCCCUCGGGUUGUAAACUCCUGUCAGGUGGGAAGAAGAGCCGGCCGGAUAAUACCCGGCUGGAAUUGACGGUACCACCAAAGGAAGCCCCGGCUAACUCCGUGCCAGCAGCCGCGGUAAUACGGAGGGGGCAAGCGUUAUUCGGAUUUACUGGGCGUAAAGCGCACGUAGGUGGCAUGGUAAGUCAAAGGUGAAAGCCCUCGGCUCAACCGAGGAACUGCCUUUGAAACUGCUUUGCUUGAGUCCGGGAGGGGGGAGCGGAAUUCCCAGUGUAGCGGUGAAAUGCGUAGAUACUGGGAGGAACACCGGUGGCGAAGGCGGCUCCCUGGACCGGUACUGACACUGAGGUGCGAAAGCGUGGGUAGCAAACAGGAUUAGAUACCCUGGUAGUCCACGCCGUAAACGAUGGGCACUAGGUGCAGCGGGUGUCGACCCCUGCUGUGCCGUAGUU
This 827-nucleotide ribosomal RNA is filed under the name uncultured bacterium. Its description in RNAcentral is "bacterial SSU rRNA". It matches the Rfam family "Bacterial small subunit ribosomal RNA", at positions 49 to 853 of the family's 1533-position model. The record is from RNAcentral.